UUUUGUCCACAGUUAUAACUGAAAGGGUUUGGCGGUAAACUAGAUUCGUCCGGGGGAAUGUGCUCAUUAAAGAGAUGAUCCGCUAAUUAAUUUACUAUAAUUAUAUAAGUUAGUGUAUAUCCGUUUGUAGAUUUACGUUUAGAGACUUUAGUGAGUAAAAUAUUAGAUAAUUUAAGACAGGUCUAUAUGCUGCUAAUAUUAUAGGUUGUUGUGCGUUACAUUUAGAAGUAAAGGAGAUGAAAAUUACUUUAGUAUUCUUAGGACUCGGAAGUAGGAGUAAAAUAGUAUGUUGCUUCGAAGGUUGAAAUAGUUUAUGUACACAUCGCCCGACAAUCUCGAUGAUAAAUUGAGUUAA
This 355-nucleotide ribosomal RNA is filed under the name Schistosoma nasalae. Its description in RNAcentral is "partial 12S ribosomal RNA". The record is from RNAcentral. Lineage: Eukaryota; Metazoa; Platyhelminthes; Trematoda; Strigeidida; Schistosomatidae.